GUCGUCAGCUCGUGUCGUGAGAUGUUGGGUUAAGUCCGCAACGAGCGCAACCCCUGCAUUCAGUUGCCAUCGGGUAAUGCCGGGCACUCUGGAAGGACUGCCAUCGACAAGAUGGAGGAAGUGGGGAUGACGUCAAGUCAUCAUGGCCCUUAUGUCCAGGGCGACACACGUGCUACAAUGGCCGGCACAACGGGAAGCGAGUUCGCGAGGACGAGCGGAUCCCUCAAAGCCGGUCGCAGUUCGGAUUGAAGUCUGCAACUCGACUUCAUGAAGCUGGAAUCGCUAGUAAUCGUGGAUCAGCCAAGCCGCGGUGAAUACGUUCCCGGGCCUU
This 331-nucleotide ribosomal RNA is filed under the name uncultured Synergistaceae bacterium. RNAcentral describes it as "bacterial SSU rRNA". It matches the Rfam family "Bacterial small subunit ribosomal RNA", at positions 1051 to 1382 of the family's 1533-position model. Lineage: Bacteria; Thermotogati; Synergistota; Synergistia; Synergistales; Synergistaceae. The record is from RNAcentral.